Molecule: ribosomal RNA, 444 nt
Filed under: uncultured bacterium
Lineage: Bacteria
Description: bacterial SSU rRNA
Rfam family: Bacterial small subunit ribosomal RNA
Source: RNAcentral
GAUGAACGCUGGCGGUAUGCCUAACACAUGCAAGUCGUACGAGAGUUUUUAACUCUAGUGGCGGACGGGUGAGUAACACGUGAGAAUUUGCCUUUAGGAGGGGGACAACAAUUGGAAACGAAUGCUAAUACCCCAUAUGCUUUCGAGUGAAAUGGAUUUUAUCCGCCUAGAGAGAAGCUCGCGGCCUAUCAGCUUGUUGGUGAGGUAAUGGCUCACCAAGGCGACGACGGGUAGCCGGCCUGAGAGGGCGACCGGCCACACUGGGACUGAGACACGGCCCAGACUCCUACGGGAGGCAGCAGUGGGGAAUAUUGGGCAAUGGAGGAAACUCUGACCCAGCGACGCCGCGUGCGGGAUGAAGGCCUCGGUGUAACGCUUUCAGCAGGGAAGAAGCGAAAGUGACGGUACCUGCAGAAGAAGCACCGGCUAACUAUGUGCCAGCAG